UACGGAGGGUGCAAGCGUUGUUCGGAAUCACUGGGCGUAAAGCGCGUGUAGGCGGCUUGGCAAGUCGAGUGUGAAAUCCCAGGGCUCAACCCUGGAACUGCACCCGAAACUGCCUCGCUGGAGUCCCGGAGAGGGUGGCGGAAUUUCCGGUGUAGAGGUGAAAUUCGUAGAUACCGGAAGGAACACCAGUGGCGAAGGCGGCCACCUGGACGGUGACUGACGCUGAGACGCGAAAGCGUGGGGAGCAAACAGG
RNAcentral lists this ribosomal RNA (253 nucleotides) under uncultured bacterium. RNAcentral describes it as "partial 16S ribosomal RNA". It matches the Rfam family "Bacterial small subunit ribosomal RNA", at positions 524 to 776 of the family's 1533-position model. The record is from RNAcentral.